GCCCCGGUAGCUCAGUUGGUAAGAGCGUUGCCCCGGUAAGGCAAAGGUCGCGAGUUCAAAUCUCGCCCGGGGCU
Molecule: transfer RNA, 74 nt
Filed under: archaeon
Lineage: Archaea
Description: tRNA-Thr
Rfam family: tRNA
About the family: Transfer RNA (tRNA) molecules are approximately 80 nucleotides in length. Their secondary structure includes four short double-helical elements and three loops (D, anti-codon, and T loops).
Source: RNAcentral